GUACACUCCUGCGGGAGGCAGCAGUGGGGAAUAUUGCACAAUGGGCGCAAGCCUGAUGCAGCCAUGCCGCGUGUAUGAAGAAGGCCUUCGGGUUGUAAAGUACUUUCAGCGGGGAGGAAGGUGUUGAGGUUAAUAACCUCAGCAAUUGACGUUACCCGCAGAAGAAGCACCGGCUAACUCCGUGCCAGCAGCCGCGGUAAUACGGAGGGUGCAAGCGUUAAUCGGAAUUACUGGGCGUAAAGCGCACGCAGGCGGUCUGUCAAGUCGGAUGUGAAAUCCCCGGGCUCAACCUGGGAACUGCAUUCGAAACUGGCAGGCUAGAGUCUUGUAGAGGGGGGUAGAAUUCCAGGUGUAGCGGUGAAAUGCGUAGAGAUCUGGAGGAAUACCGGUGGCGAAGGCGGCCCCCUGGACAAAGACUGACGCUCAGGUGCGAAAGCGUGGGGAGCAAACAGGAUUAGAAACCCUUGUAGUCCCAUGA
This 478-nucleotide ribosomal RNA is filed under the name uncultured organism. Its description in RNAcentral is "partial 16S ribosomal RNA". It matches the Rfam family "Bacterial small subunit ribosomal RNA", at positions 331 to 800 of the family's 1533-position model. The record is from RNAcentral.